This 253-nucleotide ribosomal RNA is filed under the name uncultured bacterium. Its description in RNAcentral is "partial 16S ribosomal RNA". It matches the Rfam family "Bacterial small subunit ribosomal RNA", at positions 524 to 776 of the family's 1533-position model. The record is from RNAcentral.
UACGGGGGGAGCAAGCGUUGUUCGGAUUUACUGGGCGUAAAGGCGCGUAGGCGGCCAGCACAAGUCAGUUGUGAAAUCUCCGGGCUUAACUCGGAAAGGUCAACUGAUACUGUGCGGCUAGAGUGCAGAAGGGGCAACUGGAAUUCUCGGUGUAGCGGUGAAAUGCGUAGAUAUCGAGAGGAACACCUGCGGCGAAGGCGGGUUGCUGGGCUGACACUGACGCUGAUGCGCGAAAGCGUGGGGAGCAAACAGG